UGGCUCAGCGGUAGAGUGCUUGCCUUGCAUGCAUGAGGCCCUGGGUUCGAUUCCUCAG
Dipodomys ordii (Ord's kangaroo rat) is the source of this 58-nucleotide non-coding RNA. The record is from Rfam. Lineage: Eukaryota; Metazoa; Chordata; Mammalia; Rodentia; Heteromyidae.